ACUCAAAGGAAUUGACGGGGGCCCGCACAAGCGGAGGAACAUGUGGUUUAAUUCGAUGAUACGCGAGGAACCUUACCCGGGCUUGAACGCAGGAGGAAUACGUGGGAAACCAUGUCGCCAGCAAUGGCCGCCUGCGAGGUGCUGCAUGGUUGUCGUCAGCUCGUGCCGUGAGGUGUCGGCUUAAGUGCCAUAACGAGCGCAACCCCUAUCGUUAGUUGCCAGCGGGUAAUGCCGGGGACUCUAACGAAACUGCCAGCGUAAGCUGUGAGGAAGGCGGGGAUGACGUCAAAUCAGCACGGCCCUUACGUCCGGGGCUACACACGUGUUACAAUGGAUGGUACAGAGGGCAGCUACUUCGCGAGAAGAUGCCAAUCUCCAAAGCCAUUCACAGUUCGGAUCGAAGUCUGCAACUCGACUUCGUGAAGCUGGAUUCGCUAGUAAUCGCGUAUCAGCAAUGACGCGGUGAAUACGUUCCCGGGCCUUGUACACACCGCCCGU
Molecule: ribosomal RNA, 498 nt
Filed under: uncultured bacterium
Lineage: Bacteria
Description: partial 16S ribosomal RNA
Rfam family: Bacterial small subunit ribosomal RNA
Source: RNAcentral